AAACGUAGGAGGCGAGCGUUAUCCGGAUUUACUGGGUGUAAAGCGCGUGCAGGCGGUUCUGCAAGUGGGACGUGAAAGCGCCCGGCUCAACCGGGCGAGGACGUACCGAACUGCGGGACUAGAGGCAGGUAGAGGCGUGUGGAAUUCCGGGUGUAGCGGUGAAAUGCGUAGGGAUCCGGAGGAACACCAGUGGCGAAGGCGACACGCUGGGCCUGGCCUGACGCUCAGACGCGAAAGCAUGGGGAGC
This 247-nucleotide ribosomal RNA is filed under the name uncultured bacterium. RNAcentral's name for it is "partial 16S ribosomal RNA". It matches the Rfam family "Bacterial small subunit ribosomal RNA", at positions 523 to 769 of the family's 1533-position model. The record is from RNAcentral.